Molecule: ribosomal RNA, 427 nt
Filed under: uncultured cyanobacterium
Lineage: Bacteria; Bacillati; Cyanobacteriota
Description: bacterial SSU rRNA
Rfam family: Bacterial small subunit ribosomal RNA
Source: RNAcentral
CAAAUGUUGUCAGUGGCGCACGGGUGAGUAACACGUGAAUUACAUGCCCUUCAGUGGGGAAUAGCCCAGGGAAACUUGGAUUAAUACCCCAUGGUAUCGCAAGAUUAAAGGUGGCCAGCAAUGGCUGUCGCUGAAGGAUUGGUUCGCGCCCUAUCAGCUUGUUGGCGGGGUAACGGCCCACCAAGGCUACGACGGGUACCUGGUCUGAGAGGACGAUCAGGCACACUGGAACUGAGACACGGUCCAGACACCUACGGGUGGCAGCAGUCGAGAAUAAUUCACAAUGGGGGCAACCCUGAUGGUGCAACGCCGCGUGGAGGAUGACGGUCUUCGGAUUGUAAACUCCUGUCAUCCGGGAGUAAGGCGUGGAUGUUAACAGCAUACACGAUUGAUAGUACCCGGAAGAGGAAGGGACGGCUAACUUCGU